RNAcentral lists this long non-coding RNA (624 nucleotides) under Parus major (Great Tit). RNAcentral's name for it is "lncRNA (ENSPMJG00000012289.1)". Lineage: Eukaryota; Metazoa; Chordata; Aves; Passeriformes; Paridae. The record is from RNAcentral.
CCUGCACCUGGGCAUUUCCUGCCCCGGCCUCACGCUCAGAGCUCAGCCCAGGUCCUUGGGGUUUCCUGUUUUGCUCUCAGAGCUUUCAUUUCACCCACAAAUCACUUCCCCUUCUGAGGCUCCUUGUGGCUGAUCCCCUCCAUUUCUGCUCCAGGCCUGGAGCCUCUUCCUUGCCCCUUCCUGGCUCCUUGUGUGCAGCCAGCCAGGAUUAUCCCUGUCAUUCCUCCAACGGGACCUCCUCAGCAGCUGGAAUUCAAACCAGGCUUUCCCUGGCACCAGCAGAUGCUGCCACUGCAAAUCCAGCCCUGCUAAAUCUCCAGCUGCCUUGGCCAAAACAUCAUGAAUAUUCAUGAGGUGAUUAAUUAACGUCUCCCCGCUUUAAUAGCUCCUCACAAAAUUCUGUGCCAUCCCAGGGGCUGGCACCAGGGUGGAAGAGUCACUUCAAGGUAUUUUGGAACAACCUGUCCGGGACUGAACACGUCUGAGGACUGCAGUGAUCCCAAUCAGCUCCCCAAGGCUGUGAUGGUGAUUAGUGCCCAUAAUUAGAAAUCCUCCACAAGGGUCAGGCUGUGCUGCAGAGCUGGGAUGGUGCAGGAAGGAAUUUCCAGCUGUGGGAUAUUCCAG